UUUUUUUAAAAAAGGUCAUAUAUGCUAUCUUAAAAAGGAAAAUCUUUGCACGGCUUUGCUAUUUAGAUAGAGCAAGGCCACACAAUAAGCUAGCACUCGGCACGUUCGAUCUAUGCAAAAGGUGGCCGGACUGCCCACCAAGUGUUGUCGCAGCCGGAAUGGAAGUUUUUGCACACGUAAUAUAACAAAACAUGAAACCCUACAAGACAUCAUCAAGCCCCCGUUAAUAGAACCCUAAAAAAGAAAGGAUAAAAAAAAANAAAAAAAAAAAAAAACUUUACCGAGAAAGGAAUGACAGGUAGAUGCUGACGGCGAAGAAGAGGAAAGGUGAAGGUUACAUAGAAAGCCCCUCCUUCUCGUCCUAUUUAUAGAAGCUUUAGGGACCUAGCUUUGGU
Molecule: long non-coding RNA, 395 nt
Filed under: Elaeis guineensis (African oil palm)
Lineage: Eukaryota; Viridiplantae; Streptophyta; Magnoliopsida; Arecales; Arecaceae
Description: long non-coding RNA (EGUI_LNC018587)
Source: RNAcentral